RNAcentral lists this transfer RNA (73 nucleotides) under Stegodyphus mimosarum. It matches the Rfam family "tRNA". From Rfam's summary of the family: Transfer RNA (tRNA) molecules are approximately 80 nucleotides in length. Lineage: Eukaryota; Metazoa; Arthropoda; Arachnida; Araneae; Eresidae. The record is from Rfam by way of RNAcentral.
GCCUUCGUGGUGUAAUGGUCAGCCCACUCGACGCGUAUUCGAGAGGUCCGAGGUUCGAGUCCCGGUGAGGGCA